GGCAGCCUGCGAAAAGCUCCGGGGAGUCGGCAACAGACUUUGAUCCGGAGAUGUCCGAAUGGGGAAACCCGGCCCUAGUGGUCAUCCCUUGACUGAAUACAUAGGUCUUGGGAAGCGAACGCGGCGAACUGAAACAUCUAAGUAGCUGCAGGAAAAGAAAUCAACCGAGAUUCCCCAAGUAGCGGCGAGCGAACGGGGAGGAGCCCUGAAGUGGUUGAACGUUUAGUGGAACAGACUGGAAAGUCUGGCGAUACAGAGUGAUAGCCUCGUACACGACAAGCCUCAACCAUGAUGACGAGUAGGGCGGGACACGUGAAAUCCUGUCUGAAUAUGGGGGGACCAUCCUCCAAGGCUAAAUACUACUUACCGACCGAUAGUGAACCAGUACCGUGAGGGAAAGGCGAAAAGAACCCCGGCGAGGGGAGUGAAAUAGAACCUGAAACCGUGUGCGUACAAGCAGUAGGAGCGGAGAGAUUCCGUGACUGCGUACCUUUUGUAUAAUGGGUCAGCGACUUAAUGAUCGUGGCAAGCUUAACCGAUUAGGGGAGGCGUAGGGAAACCGAGUCUGAAUAGGGCGAUAGUCGCGGUCAUUAGACCCGAAACCGGAGCGAUCUAUCCAUGGCCAGGAUGAAGGUUGGGUAAAACCAACUGGAGGUCCGAACCCACAAAUGUUGAAAAAUUUGGGGAUGAGCUGUGGAUCGGAGUGAAAGGCUAAUCAAGCCCGGAGAUAGCUGGUUCUCCUCGAAAGCUAUUUAGGUAGCGCCUCGUAUCUCACUCUCGGGGGUAGAGCACUGUUAUGGCUAGGGGGUCAUCCCGACUUACCAAACCAUUGCAAACUCCGAAUACCGAGAAGUGCAAUUACGGGAGACAGACGGUGGGUGCUAACGUCCAUCGUCAAGAGGGAAACAACCCAGACCGCCAGCUAAGGUCCCUAAAUCUGUGCUAAGUGGGAAACGAUGUGGGAAGGCAUAGACAGCUAGGAGGUUGGCUUAGAAGCAGCCAUCCUUUAAAGAAAGCGUAAUAGCUCACUAGUCAAGUCGGCCUGCGCGGAAGAUUUAACGGGGCUCAAGCACAGUACCGAAGCUGCGGAUGCCGCAAGGCAUGGUAGAGGAGCGUUCUGUAGGCCGUUGAAGGUGUGCUGUGAGGCAUGCUGGAGGUAUCAGAAGUGCGAAUGCUGACAUAAGUAACGAUAAU
RNAcentral lists this ribosomal RNA (1194 nucleotides) under Sphingobacteriales bacterium. Its description in RNAcentral is "partial 23S ribosomal RNA". It matches the Rfam family "Bacterial large subunit ribosomal RNA", at positions 60 to 1316 of the family's 2925-position model. Lineage: Bacteria; Pseudomonadati; Bacteroidota; Sphingobacteriia; Sphingobacteriales. The record is from RNAcentral.